UCCUCAAUCGGCCUGAGUGUCCCAGGAAAC
This 30-nucleotide non-coding RNA is filed under the name Rattus norvegicus (Norway rat). The record is from RNAcentral. Lineage: Eukaryota; Metazoa; Chordata; Mammalia; Rodentia; Muridae.